Molecule: ribosomal RNA, 253 nt
Filed under: uncultured bacterium
Lineage: Bacteria
Description: partial 16S ribosomal RNA
Rfam family: Bacterial small subunit ribosomal RNA
Source: RNAcentral
UACGAAGGGUGCAAGCGUUACUCGGAAUUACUGGGCGUAAAGCGUGCGUAGGCGGUUCGUUAAGUCAGAUGUGAAAGCCCCGGGCUCAACCUGGGAAUUGCAUUUGAUACUGGCGGGCUAGAGUGCGGUAGAGGAGAGUGGAAUUCCCGGUGUAGCGGUGAAAUGCGUAGAGAUCGGGAGGAACAUCAGUUGCGAAGGCGGCUCUCUGGACCAGCACUGACACUGAGGCACGAAAGCGUGGGGAUCAAACAGG